UCUAUUUGAUUUCCUUGAAAAGUUACAUUUCAGUAUGUGAGAUUUCCUUCUUAUAUCUCCUCUGGUUCUCACUUAACAGAAUCUGUUUUACACGAGAGCUGUUGAAGAAAUGGCCAACUUCCUAACUGCAGAAGACUAACCGAAUACCGGUCACUACAGCUAAGGUACAAAGUAAAGCUAAGAUACAGAGUAAAGGAAAAACAGAGUAGAUGAGCAGAGUAGCGGUUUAGUCGACUUUGCAGCAUCUUUUCCUACAAUCUCUCGAUCCGUAUAUCAUCCUUCUUCUUUCCUUUCUUUAUUCUUAACAGUAGAUCUUCUUCUUUCUGUACAUUUCUUGACACCAUUUAUACAGUCAGCUUCUUCCUGUCUUUUGUCCUUAAC
This 381-nucleotide long non-coding RNA is filed under the name Eucalyptus grandis. RNAcentral describes it as "long non-coding RNA (EGRA_LNC003037)". The record is from RNAcentral. Lineage: Eukaryota; Viridiplantae; Streptophyta; Magnoliopsida; Myrtales; Myrtaceae.